Long non-coding RNA from Nymphaea colorata (pocket water lily), 839 nucleotides. RefSeq lists it as uncharacterized. Lineage: Eukaryota; Viridiplantae; Streptophyta; Magnoliopsida; Nymphaeales; Nymphaeaceae. The transcript is spliced from 3 exons. The record is from RefSeq and is a predicted model, not a curated record.
GCUGGCUCGACUGCGUGAGAAGCAGGAGGCGGGCGAGGGUGCUGCGGCGAUGGCUGGGCCGGCGAAGGAAGGGUGAUGGUGGCGCUGAGAUUGGGGGACGUCUUUUCCCUCAUAACAGCGAAUCGAAGGUGUUGGUGGAGACGACAUUGUAUGAUUUUAGCCGCUUGGGGAUCAAUCGAGCAUUUGAGGUGGCUGUCGAGAGCACUACAACAGUUUGCACUCUAGGAGUGGGGUACUUCUGGUACGUCGAAUAGACCUUGAACGACAAGAUUCAAAGCUCGAGACAUUUUGGGUAUUUUGGGUGACGCAUGGUAGGUAUGGCGGCAUUCCAGGCAAAUUCCUGCCUGGGGCCAACUUUAGAAUGUGUGCCCUUCAGGAUCGUUGGAUCCUAUGUUUGUGUUAUGAUUGAAUGAAUAUAUGCAUAUGAUUGACUUGUUAUGGGAUUGGUUUUGUUUUUAAAAAUUACUAUGCAAUUGCAUGUGCAUAUUGACAAUGAUAACUGUUUAGGACAUAUGAGAUGAGAUAUAGAUGCGAGUAUCUCCUCGAUCCCGAUUGUGUAUUAGAAAGCAUCGUAGAAUGAUAAUUGCAUAGAACAGCUAUGAGUGAAUCACGGAUCGAGAUUAUUCUUCGUGGUUUGACUAAAUUUUGAAAGAUGUGAUUGAUGUUCUUGAUUAAUGUGAAUGUUGUAAUAUGUUUCGUAUGCAUUGUCGUGGGCAUGAUGCAAAUGAAUGAAAUUGAAGGAUAGUUGUACACGUAAAGUUAUGACGACUAGCUAAGAAGGUUGACUAUAUGUGUAGCCCUCAUGUGGAGGCAUUUAGAGGUAUGAGUGCACUUGUGAA